This is a small nucleolar RNA of 83 nucleotides. It matches the Rfam family "A. fumigatus snoRNA Afu_294".
CCAUCUGAUGAACUCGAAUUAUUUCGCUGUGUUCUUACCGAGUCUUGACUUUGAAGACUACUAUCAUCUUGGAGACCUGAUAC